CCCGUCUUCAUUCUGUCCUUGGGACGCCAUUUGGAUACAAGGCCAUUGUCAGAUGGACCAGUGGGCACGGGAGCUUCAAAUGCGUCAUGACGAAGCUCACAGAGCACAAUAGUCUGGGGCAAAUAGGCCAUACUUGUCGUGGCGACGGCAGCAUUGCCAUAACUACUGCUAGCAGUCUCCAAAUCUCUCCUCUGCGAGGCCAAAUCUCCAGCGUCCUCGCCACGACUGGAAGCAUAGUCAUCACAGUGAUUGGUCACCAAAGGUACCGAAGUUUGCGAAAACCGAGACGCCAUCAAAUCCCCCAAUGCCAUCCAAAUCCCCAAAACCCUCAAAAAAACGUAAAAGCCUUUUGCCAAAUAAAUAAUAUACACAACAAUCAAACCAAAGCAAGCAAUCAACGUUGCCCUAAUUGAUAAACCAGGUCAAAUGAAAUGGACC
RNAcentral lists this unclassified non-coding RNA (438 nucleotides) under Hevea brasiliensis (rubber tree). The record is from RNAcentral. Lineage: Eukaryota; Viridiplantae; Streptophyta; Magnoliopsida; Malpighiales; Euphorbiaceae.